This is a long non-coding RNA of Labrus mixtus (cuckoo wrasse), 377 nucleotides long. RefSeq lists it as uncharacterized. The transcript is spliced from 3 exons. NCBI's taxonomy places the organism in Eukaryota, Metazoa, Chordata, Actinopteri, Labriformes, Labridae. The record is from RefSeq and is a predicted model, not a curated record.
AAACACUUCCUUGAAUCUUAUCAUACGACAUUACAGGAAGAAGAGUUUUCACUAGCCCUCUGUCAAGUACCGGUCAGUCUAAAAUAGCCUCAGAGUGAGACAUCACACCACUGUGAAGCGAGUACAUGACAACAUCUGAUUGCAGAAAGAAAAUGAAAUCCAUCUACAUGAUCAUCACAGCUCUGGCAUCAACAGCUCUGGCACAAGGCUCUAUUGAAUGUAAUUUCACUGAAGCUACUGGAACUCAGCAAUGUUAUGGAGCGGUGGGACAACUGCUGAUUUUUCACCUGCCAAACACUGCAGAUAGAGAUGUAAGGUUGACGAAAGACAAGACACGUAUUAUCUUAAAAUGUAAAAAAAAACGGAUAGAGACGCCA